RNAcentral lists this long non-coding RNA (569 nucleotides) under Heterocephalus glaber (naked mole-rat). Its description in RNAcentral is "lncRNA (ENSHGLG00000032909.1)". Lineage: Eukaryota; Metazoa; Chordata; Mammalia; Rodentia; Bathyergidae. The record is from RNAcentral.
GUGAUCUGAGCGGCCCGGCCCAGCAGCGCGGGCCACACUGGCUCCGGGUCUCCGGGGGGCGCUCCCUUCCUGACACCAGGCUGGACACACGAGCGAAGGCCCGCGUCACCUUAUCCCUUGCCACGGCCCAGAGGGACAGCCUCGUACAGCUGCCCGGGUCGCACACUCACCGAGCCUGCCCUGAAUCCCACCACCAGGAGUCCAGCGGAGCAAUCAGGGCAGAAGGCGCAGGUGCUCCCCUCCUGUCCUUGAGUUAAUCCAGGUGCCACAACGCCCUGGGCUCAGCGAAACUUGCUUAAACCUCCCCGGAUUCUCACCCUCACCUGCUCUCCACUUCGCGAGGAGAUGGAGGCCCAAGGUGCUGAGGAGCCACCCCGUGAAAACAUCUGGUUCCCCCAGGGCCGUUGCUCUGCCCAGCACUCCAGUGUCCCUCCUCCCAGAGCUUUCCAGAGAGUCAGUGCAGGCUCUCUCCUCCCUUACUCUCUGCUUAGUAUUUUUUCUCAAAGCAAAUUUAUUUUUUUAAAUCAAAAAUAGUUUUGUUUCUGUGGUACUGGGAGCUGAACCCCGGG